This 327-nucleotide ribosomal RNA is filed under the name uncultured bacterium. RNAcentral's name for it is "bacterial SSU rRNA". It matches the Rfam family "Bacterial small subunit ribosomal RNA", at positions 46 to 370 of the family's 1533-position model. The record is from RNAcentral.
AGCUUAACACAUGCAAGUCGAGCGGGGAAGGUUGCUUCGGUAACUGACCUAGCGGCGGACGGGUGAGUAAUGCUUAGGAAUCUGCCAUUUAGUGGGGGACAACAUUCCGAAAGGAAUGCUAAUACCGCAUACGUCCUACGGGAGAAAGCAGGGGAUCUUCGGACCUUGCGCUAAAUGAUGAAGCCUAAAGUCGGAUUAGCUAGUUGGUGGGGUAAAGGCCUACCAAGGGCGACGAUCUGUAGCGGGUCUGAAGAGGAUGAUCCGCCACACUGGGACUGAGACACGGCCCAGACUCCUACGGGAGGCAGCAGUGGGGAAUAUUGGACA